This is a small nuclear RNA of Elaeis guineensis (African oil palm), 103 nucleotides long. NCBI's taxonomy places the organism in Eukaryota, Viridiplantae, Streptophyta, Magnoliopsida, Arecales, Arecaceae. The record is from RefSeq and is a predicted model, not a curated record.
UUCUUUUUGGAGACCUUCGAUAAAUUUAGAAUAAUAUGGAGAAAAUUAGUAUAGCCCCUGCAUAAGAAUGACAUGUAUAAAUUGAGAAAUGGUUGAAAUUUUU